AAUAUACUCCAUAUAAAACUGAGGGUUAUAAAUCUCUUUGAAUCAUUCUCCUUGGUCAGAAGACUUGACACGCUUGUGAACAAAUUCUGUCUCAUCAUGAAUAACAUUGCAGCAAAUUUGAACCAAACAAGCUUUAUACAAGCACUCCAUCAAGCUAUCAAACCGUCUACACAUGCUCUCGACACAAGACCAAGCUGGGCCUUCACAACAAUAGACCAUAGUAUCUUUCCUUUCAGCUAUCUCACACCAGCUAACCCAAUGGCGUUCUUGAGACUUCUGUUUUUAACAAAGCUAGCUUUCUUUUCUAACACAAACCUCUGCAAAAACGUCAAACUCAAACGGCGAAACCACAUUAUUACUUUGAUGAUGAAAGCCUAACUCCGCCAGCUACACGAUUCUCUUAAAAACAAUGACUUCAUACAUUUUGUGAUUAGGCAUAUCCUUCUUCUUGACACUUCACAAGCUUCAUCCACUUGGUAUUCAUAUCCAACUUCUAACACCAAAAGCUUUAUAAUUCAAGGACUGCAGAUCCAUGAAACUUCACAUUCACCACACAACACUUUGUAAAAGUAUAGCUAUAGAAGUCUCUGAAUUACUACUCUGAACUGCCACAAUUCUACUAUGUUCCCGGACUCCAAAUACAGUAUCUUUCUACCAGAAGCUAGCUUCACACGUCUAGAAUGUCACUGCACAUGUUUAUUUCAUGCCAAGUUCACUUGGUCGCUCAUUUGAUGUCUCUACUGGAACUGGUCAAAUCUGAAACAUAUGAUGGACAGAUCCCGGAACAGAUUGAAGAUGCUUGAAUAAAAUGCAGUUCAUCCGUCAAAACUUCAAUCCAACCGUUGAAUCUCAAUUCUGUAAUAGCAAAAAGCUUCACACAAAAUUUCAGCAUGAUCAGAUAACUUUAAGACCUCCAAACUCUCUCUUGAAGAGGCUAUCUUUAAAUCAGAUUUCUGUGAUCUUUCCCAUAUCAAAAAUCAAAAUCUUCUCUCCUUUCAUAAUUGUGUGCUAGUCAACCAAUACAUGAAUCACACACUUGAGAGAGUCCAUCUUGAGGAAAAAUUAUCUUAUUCUUUGAGUUUGCAGAGACACCAUUGACAUAUACUGAAGCUUUCCAUCAUUUGUCUUGAUGCAGUCUUGAAGCAGAGCAUAAACGGGGUAGCAAAACAGCCCAGAAAAUUAUGAAAUUUGGUGACAACAUCCACACCAAUCAUUUGAAGCCACAGGAAGAAGCAGAUCACAAUUUAGGUUUACGGUUUGCAAGUUAUGAUAAAAUUCGCAAGACAGCUCUUGAACAAUACAAACCUGCAAGCAGCCAAGUUUUAGAGCGAUUUCCCAUCAAACCGAAAGGAAUCAGAAGGUGAUCUUUAUAUCAUUGGACAAAUCUCGUUUCCAAGUUUCCAGAACACUUUUGGUAGCUCAAAUCCGAGGUCUGUAGCCAAAGUAACUGAAGAAGAAAGUAGCACCCAAGAAAGAAAACUGUACUUGAAACCCGAAAUCUUCUUCUUUUCAUCAUUCUCUGAUUUCUUCACAAAAUACCAGCAACAUCUUUAAGAAUCAUAUUCCAUAAGCUCAUCUUUCUUUCUCAUGACAAAAACCAUG
RNAcentral lists this long non-coding RNA (1602 nucleotides) under Capsella grandiflora. RNAcentral's name for it is "long non-coding RNA (CGRA_LNC000747)". The record is from RNAcentral. Lineage: Eukaryota; Viridiplantae; Streptophyta; Magnoliopsida; Brassicales; Brassicaceae.